This 1537-nucleotide ribosomal RNA is filed under the name Pterostichus ecarinatus. Its description in RNAcentral is "SSU rRNA". It matches the Rfam family "Eukaryotic small subunit ribosomal RNA", at positions 9 to 1421 of the family's 1831-position model. Lineage: Eukaryota; Metazoa; Arthropoda; Insecta; Coleoptera; Carabidae. The record is from RNAcentral.
UGAUCCUGCCAGUAGUCAUAUGCUUGUCUCAAAGAUUAAGCCAUGCAUGUCUAAGUACAAACUAUUAAAUAAAGUGAAACCGCGAAAGGCUCAUUAAAUCAGUUAUGGUUCCUUAGAUCGUACCACAAUUACUUGGAUAACUGUGGUAAUUCUAGAGCUAAUACAUGCAAACAGAGCUCUGACCGGAGACGGAAGGAGUGCUUUUAUUAGAUCAAAACCAAUCGGCGGCGAUAGCAUUUAUUUGUUAUCGUUCGUCGCUCAAUAAAUGGUGAAUCUGAAUAACUUUAUGCUGAUCGCAGGGUCUUGUACCGGCGACGCAUCUUUCAAAUGUCUGCCUUAUCAACUGUCGAUGGUAGGAUCUGCGCCUACCAUGGUUGUAACGGGUAACGGGGAAUCAGGGUUCGAUUCCGGAGAGGGAGCCUGAGAAACGGCUACCACAUCCAAGGAAGGCAGCAGGCGCGCAAAUUACCCACUCCCGGCACGGGGAGGUAGUGACGAAAAAUAACGAUACGGGACUCAUCCGAGGCCCCGUAAUCGGAAUGAGUACACUUUAAAUCCUUUAACGAGGACCAAUUGGAGGGCAAGUCUGGUGCCAGCAGCCGCGGUAAUUCCAGCUCCAAUAGCGUAUAUUAAAGUUGUUGCGGUUAAAAAGCUCGUAGUUGAACUUGUGUCCCGCACUGUCGGUUCACCGCCCGCGGUGCUAACUGGCAUGUUUGCGGGACGUCCUGCCGGUGGAUGUUCAGUAGUCAAUUGGCUUUCGGGUCUUUUGUACUAUUUCAUCCGACUUAUUAAAUCCUAUCGCGGUGCUCUUAACUGAGUGUCGAGGUGGGCCGGCACGUUUACUUUGAACAAAUUAGAGUGCUCAAAGCAGGCUAAUUAAUGCCUGAAUAAUUAGUGCAUGGAAUAAUGGAACAGGACCUUGGUUCUAUUUUGUUGGUUUUCGGAACCCCAAGGUAAUGAUUAAUAGGGACGGAUGGGGGCAUUCGUAUUGCGACGUUAGAGGUGAAAUUCUUGGAUCGUCGCAAGACGGACUAAAGCGAAAGCAUUUGCCAAAGAUGUUUUCAUUAAUCAAGAACGAAAGUCAGAGGUUCGAAGGCGAUCAGAUACCGCCCUAGUUCUGACCAUAAACGAUGCCAGCUAGCGAUCCGUCAAAGUUCCUCCGAUGACUUGGCGGGCAGCUUCCGGGAAACCAAAGCUUUUGGGUUCCGGGGGAAGUAUGGUUGCAAAGCUGAAACUUAAAGGAAUUGACGGAAGGGCACCACCAGGAGUGGAGCCUGCGGCUUAAUUUGACUCAACACGGGAAACCUCACCAGGCCCAGACACUGGAAGGAUUGACAGAUUGAGAGCUCUUUCUUGAUUCAGUGGGUGGUGGUGCAUGGCCGUUCUUAGUUGGUGGAGUGAUUUGUCUGGUUAAUUCCGAUAACGAACGAGACUCUAGCCUACUAAAUAGACGUUACMCUUUCCAGUAUCUCGAAGCUCACAUCUCUCGUUUCUUUACUGCACAUCGCCUAUCAUUUCGGUGAUUGGUGUGUGUGGU